This 2543-nucleotide ribosomal RNA is filed under the name Drosophila melanogaster (fruit fly). Its description in RNAcentral is "eukaryotic LSU rRNA". The stretch from base 1 to 1682 matches the Rfam family "Eukaryotic large subunit ribosomal RNA", at positions 888 to 3401 of the family's 3401-position model. The record is from RNAcentral. Lineage: Eukaryota; Metazoa; Arthropoda; Insecta; Diptera; Drosophilidae.
GACGUGCAAAUCGAUUGUCAGAAUUGAGUAUAGGGGCGAAAGACCAAUCGAACCAUCUAGUAGCUGGUUCCUUCCGAAGUUUCCCUCAGGAUAGCUGGUGCAUUUUAAUAUUAUAUAAAAUAAUCUUAUCUGGUAAAGCGAAUGAUUAGAGGCCUUAGGGUCGAAACGAUCUUAACCUAUUCUCAAACUUUAAAUGGGUAAGAACCUUAACUUUCUUGAUAUGAAGUUCAAGGUUAUGAUAUAAUGUGCCCAGUGGGCCACUUUUGGUAAGCAGAACUGGCGCUGUGGGAUGAACCAAACGUAAUGUUACGGUGCCCAAAUUAACAACUCAUGCAGAUACCAUGAAAGGCGUUGGUUGCUUAAAACAGCAGGACGGUGAUCAUGGAAGUCGAAAUCCGCUAAGGAGUGUGUAACAACUCACCUGCCGAAGCAACUAGCCCUUAAAAUGGAUGGCGCUUAAGUUGUAUACCUAUACAUUACCGCUAAAGUAGAUGAUUUAUAUUACUUGUGAUAUAAAUUUUGAAACUUUAGUGAGUAGGAAGGUACAAUGGUAUGCGUAGAAGUGUUUGGCGUAAGCCUGCAUGGAGCUGCCAUUGGUACAGAUCUUGGUGGUAGUAGCAAAUAAUCGAAUGAGACCUUGGAGGACUGAAGUGGAGAAGGGUUUCGUGUGAACAGUGGUUGAUCACGAGUUAGUCGGUCCUAAGUUCAAGGCGAAAGCCGAAAAUUUUCAAGUAAAACAAAAAUGCCUAACUAUAUAAACAAAGCGAAUUAUAAUACACUUGAAUAAUUUUGAACGAAAGGGAAUACGGUUCCAAUUCCGUAACCUGUUGAGUAUCCGUUUGUUAUUAAAUAUGGGCCUCGUGCUCAUCCUGGCAACAGGAACGACCAUAAAGAAGCCGUCGAGAGAUAUCGGAAGAGUUUUCUUUUCUGUUUUAUAGCCGUACUACCAUGGAAGUCUUUCGCAGAGAGAUAUGGUAGAUGGGCUAGAAGAGCAUGACAUAUACUGUUGUGUCGAUAUUUUCUCCUCGGACCUUGAAAAUUUAUGGUGGGGACACGCAAACUUCUCAACAGGCCGUACCAAUAUCCGCAGCUGGUCUCCAAGGUGAAGAGUCUCUAGUCGAUAGAAUAAUGUAGGUAAGGGAAGUCGGCAAAUUAGAUCCGUAACUUCGGGAUAAGGAUUGGCUCUGAAGAUUGAGAUAGUCGGGCUUGAUUGGGAAACAAUAACAUGGUUUAUGUGCUCGUUCUGGGUAAAUAGAGUUUCUAGCAUUUAUGUUAGUUACUUGUUCCCCGGAUAGUUUAGUUACGUAGCCAAUUGUGGAACUUUCUUGCUAAAAUUUUUAAGAAUACUAUUUGGGUUAAACCAAUUAGUUCUUAUUAAUUAUAACGAUUAUCAAUUAACAAUCAAUUCAGAACUGGCACGGACUUGGGGAAUCCGACUGUCUAAUUAAAACAAAGCAUUGUGAUGGCCCUAGCGGGUGUUGACACAAUGUGAUUUCUGCCCAGUGCUCUGAAUGUCAAAGUGAAGAAAUUCAAGUAAGCGCGGGUCAACGGCGGGAGUAACUAUGACUCUCUUAAGGUAGCCAAAUGCCUCGUCAUCUAAUUAGUGACGCGCAUGAAUGGAUUAACGACGGACGUGUUUUCGUUGCGCUCGUGGACAUAGUGCGAAGAACUUUGUUUUCCGUAUUUGGAAGUAUACGAAUAAAUAAUUUAGUGUUCCGUGGAAGUGGUGCGCAAAUUUUCGCGAAUUAAAAACAAGCGGUUUGGAAGUAAUUGACAAUAAAUUAUUGGAAAUUUUCCACUCCGCACGUGUUGAGCGGCGAGCUUGCGGGUGAGCUUUUCGAACAGCUGAGAGAAGCUUAUUGGUGGUAGUCACCGCUAAGGAUUGUGUCUUGGGACAGCUUAGUGCACUCUACCAAUAGGUGGAGCUAUCACCAUAGCAACUAGCCCGUGUCAGCGAGCAUACGAUUGCUGGACUCGUCAAAAGGAGGAGCCACCAUCGGAGCAACGCCGAUGGAGAGCGACAGCAGUGUGAGUGCCUUGAGCGGAAGCAGUGCCUCAAAGGUGUCAAGACGAGGCAGGCGUAGAGGCCAUCUGGCCUCCAAGAGCUCGGCGCCAACGCAGGCGAAGCUGAUUGCCCUGGCCUCGAAUGGAGUGCCAGAACCCGUUGGUGUGCUGGAGGAGACGUUUUCAUCGCUGGAGGAUGCCCGGGCGGCUACGUCAAGCGCUGCCAACGAUGCUGCCCCCCCCGCUGCUGCCCCCGCUGUUGAUCACACUGUUGCCCCUGAUGUUUCCACUGCUGCUAAAAUCGCUGCCACCACUGCCACCGCUGCCACCGCUGCCGCCCGUGCUGGGCAAGCAGCCAUGAUGGCAGAGCUGUCGGCCACCCAGCGCAUGGUGCGAAACAGUUUCCGCAGCCUAGGAGGCGUAGACACGGAAGAGCUCUCGUGUGCCAUCAGCCGCUAUGAUGAGCUGGUGAUGGCAUUAAUGCUCCGGUGUGGAGAACUGGAGACGCGGCUCGCGUCGAACACUACUGCCGCCAAUGC